UACGAAGGGGGCUAGCGUUGUUCGGAUUUACUGGGCGUAAAGCGCGUGUAGGCGGACUUGUAAGCUGGGGGUGAAAUCCCGAGGCUCAACCUCGGAACUGCCUCCAAAACUACAAGUCUGGAGCAAGAUAGAGGCAAGUGGAAUUGCGAGUGUAGAGGUGAAAUUCGUAGAUAUUCGCAGGAACACCAGUGGCGAAGGCGACUUGCUGGAUCUUUGCUGACGCUGAGACGCGAAAGCGUGGGGAGCAAACAGG
This 253-nucleotide ribosomal RNA is filed under the name uncultured bacterium. RNAcentral describes it as "partial 16S ribosomal RNA". It matches the Rfam family "Bacterial small subunit ribosomal RNA", at positions 524 to 776 of the family's 1533-position model. The record is from RNAcentral.